Long non-coding RNA from Rhinopithecus roxellana (golden snub-nosed monkey), 521 nucleotides. RefSeq lists it as uncharacterized. The record is from RefSeq and is a predicted model, not a curated record. The transcript is spliced from 3 exons. NCBI's taxonomy places the organism in Eukaryota, Metazoa, Chordata, Mammalia, Primates, Cercopithecidae.
GCCCUGGCUGUCACAGCAAGUUCCUGAUUCUCCUGCCAUGAAGUUGCUGUGAGAGUGAACAAGGCCGUGGGGCAUCUCCAGGCUGAGUGUGAGACGAUGCUCCCACAGACUUACUUCCUGCAAGCCACACCCUGGGGAGAAACAAAAGGAUGCAAUGCCAAGGUGCCAAAGAGCCUGAAGUCAUGCCAGUGGUGGAGUGCUGAUUGUAACGGAUUGGGUUUGGAUGACAUCCCCACUCAUCUGUAAUGGAAGCUGCAUCAAAGGAAACCUUCCACAGAAGCAAGAACUGACCACCAUCUACAUCAACUGGAACCUUUCUGGAAUCCACACAGUGCAAUGAUCCUUAGAAAAAGCUAACUGGGAUUAAGUUGUUACAAUAAGAAGGCCACCAACACUCAACUGGAACCCUUCGUAAUCCCAAUACAAGGAAAGAUUCAGGUCUCGUCCUGAUUGCAGACUUUGUCUUGGUAUUUUAAAAUCUGUAUUAGUGAAUAAUUUCAAAUUUCAAAUCUACCUACAUA